GAUGAACGCUGGCGGCGUGCCUAAUACAUGCAAGUCGAGCGAACAGACGAGGAGCUUGCUCCUCUGACGUUAGCGGCGGACGGGUGAGUAACACGUGGAUAACCUACCUAUACGACUGGGAUAACUUCGGGAAACCGGAGCUAAUACCGGAUAAUAUAUUGAACCGCAUGGUUCAAUAGUGAAAGACGGUUUUGCUGUCACUUAUAGAUGGAUCCGCGCCGCAUUAGCUAGUUGGUAAGGUAACGGCUUACCAAGGCAACGAUGCGUAGCCGACCUGAGAGGGUGGUCGGCCACCCUGGAACGGAGACACGGUCCAGACGCCUACGGGAGGCAGCAGUAGGGAAUCUUCCGCAAUGGGCGAAAGCCUGACGGAGCAACGCCGCGUGAGUGAUGAAGGUCUUCGGAUCGUAAAACUCUGUUAUUAGGGAAGAACAAAUGUGUAAGUAACUAUGCACGUCUUGACGGUACCUAAUCAGAAAGCCACGGCUAACUACGUG
This 497-nucleotide ribosomal RNA is filed under the name uncultured bacterium. RNAcentral describes it as "partial 16S ribosomal RNA". It matches the Rfam family "Bacterial small subunit ribosomal RNA", at positions 28 to 507 of the family's 1533-position model. The record is from RNAcentral.